Molecule: long non-coding RNA, 2201 nt
Filed under: Daphnia pulicaria
Lineage: Eukaryota; Metazoa; Arthropoda; Branchiopoda; Diplostraca; Daphniidae
Description: uncharacterized LOC124313590, transcript variant X4
Source: RNAcentral
CCCCUGUAAAUGGUAUUGAUAUUUCUUCAACAAAUACUUCCACUGAUAUUUCUAAAUUUCUUCAAACUGUAAGCAUCUAACAUUGCACUUCAUCCUCCCUGCCCUAUCUGAUUGUCUUUCUCAAAGUUUAAAGGGUAUUACUUCUAAUUAUUUCAGUUUAAUUCAGUGGCUUAUCAUGAGAUGUGUCGAAUGUUGUCUUAAUCUUCCCCUCUGCUUAGUUUUCAACAAAUAGUUUUUCAGUGAGCAAACGCUUGUUAUCAUUUUAUUCUUCAAGCUUUGUUUAGUUGAAAGGACAUCGAGCGGCCAUCGGUGAAGGUGAUUUCCUGGACCAGCUCUUGUCAGUAGUUUAAUGCUUUGCGCCUGACAUUCAGCACGUGCGCUUAUUUUUGUAUUGGUUUGUAUUUAGAAAUUUUUUAAAAUAUUUUAAUAUCGAUCUUUGACGUAAAUAUUUAUCGUUGACUUUGAUUCAACACAAAAUAAAAAGACAAUCGCACAGAGUAGCAAUCAAAAGACCCUAGGCCUAUGUGACUUUUGAACUUGGGUAGAGUUUUGUACUCUACGCAUGUAGUCCUUGUCGGGUGUGACAAAAAUAUCGUCCGAAAUAACCCUCCCUAACGAGUAACGACGACAUGUUAUCUCUGAUUUUGGUUUAAUCAAAUAAAUCUUAACUAAUUGUAACUCGAGAUUUGGAGAUUUUUAAACUAAAUGCCCCACGUAUUCCCGACACGUAUUUCCACGUCAGAAUUCUAAACUAAACAGCCAAAUGAAUUAAUAUAGUAAAUAGACGCGAAUAUCCAAAUACCCUAGCAAAUUAUGCGGAUAUUUAUUGCAAGAGGCUAUUCUUGAAACAUAUUUCGAUAAAAGCAACCGUCAAGAACAUCAAAACGUGCUCGGCAUCACGUACUACCCUUCUUCUCCCGACACAUGACCCGAUAGUUCAAAAACAUUUCAAAUGUAAGUCUAGGCUUAGCAUUACUAUUUGACUUGUUUACAUGGUAAUGAUCACGUGAACCUCGGCUACUGCCUUCCAUCUCUAAUUCCCAUCCGAAAAUCUGCGAGUAUAAAAGUCAACUGGAAAUGUUAGAGAACUUCUCUAACAUCGCCACUCUAACGGUCGCCAGCGUGUCUGCAACCACCACGACCACCGUCACCACUUCCGUCACCACCGUCUCGGCCGAUGAUGACAGCGAGGGAUGACUCUCGUUGAGCGCUCACGACCGCAGCGUCAUCCGCAAGACCUGGGACCAGGCCAUAUGGAGAGACGGCGAUGUUCCUCCUCAGAUUCUUUUCCGCUUCAUCAAGGCCCAUUCCGAAUACCAGAAGAUGUUCAGCAAGUUCGCCAGCGACCCCCAAAACGAAUUGUUGACGAACUUAUAGAAAUCACCAAAUUUGGAAAGCCAUCCGCUCACCAAAGAGGCGAAAUGCACGGACGAAGAAAUCAAGGAGAUAUUACAUAAUCUUAACUCUGAAGUCGCUGCUGUCGUCGAUGAACCCACCACCGCCUCAAAGUGGAAGAAUCACUGCGCUGCUAUGCUUUAUUUCAGCUGCUUCUUUUGGUCGGUGGCCUCGUCCAUUCCGACUGGCGGAUUACGCCCGUUCUCUUGAUCUGAUGGAAUAUUACAUCAUCAUGCUGAGCACCAUGGGGGACAGGAGAUCUCAUAUGCCGUUUAGUUAUAGGGCCGCUCAUCACCGUUUGGAAAUUAGACGUCACGAAAUUGUACGCCAUCUCGCAGAUUGCCUGCGCCAUAACAACUUCUUCCUUUCCAACCGUGGUGAACGGCGUCCAGAUGAUUAUCCAAGGUUUCUUAUUCAGCGUGACUUUCGGCUGUCAGUGUUUGUUUCUCGCUCUCGUUCCGCGUGCGCUUUUCGGAAGUGAAAAUUUGAAUCGAAUCUUCGGCGUCUCUAUUUUUUCGGACGGAUUGGCAUUCUUAUUGGUCCACCGAUCAUAAUAAUCAGGACUUAUUGUGGAUAUCACGCCAGGUCGCUCUUAUUGGUUGGCCUUUGUCUUCGCUUCUGUUAUGGAACUUUUAUCGGCGAUCGCCACAAUAGGCGCGCUGUUCUUCGCUAAUCCAAAAUAAAGUCUUUCCAAAAAUUGAAUAAUUUCCGGUUUGUUGAAAUUAAGUGAGAUUUAUUUUUUUCGUUAGUUAAUUCGAUAUUCUCCACAUGUUAUGGACAAUUACAGAUUUUUUUCAAAAAUAGAU